UACGUAGGGGGCAAGCGUUGUCCGGAUUUAUUGGGCGUAAAGAGCGUGUAGGCGGUUUGGUAGGUCCGCUGUGAAAACUUGAGGCUCAACCUCAAGCUGUCGGUGGAAACCACAUGGCUAGAGUCCGGAAGAGGAGAGUGGAAUUCCUGGUGUAGCGGUGAAAUGCGCAGAUAUCAGGAAGAACACCAAUGGCGAAGGCAGCUCUCUGGGACGGUACUGACACUGAGACGCGAAAGCGUGGGGAGCGAACAGG
Molecule: ribosomal RNA, 253 nt
Filed under: uncultured bacterium
Lineage: Bacteria
Description: partial 16S ribosomal RNA
Rfam family: Bacterial small subunit ribosomal RNA
Source: RNAcentral